RNAcentral lists this ribosomal RNA (1901 nucleotides) under human gut metagenome. RNAcentral's name for it is "bacterial LSU rRNA". It matches the Rfam family "Bacterial large subunit ribosomal RNA", at positions 1005 to 2925 of the family's 2925-position model. The record is from RNAcentral.
CCGCGGUCAAAAGGGGAACACCCCAGAUCGUCUGCUAAGGUCCCCAAGUACGCGUUAAGUGGGAAAGGAUGUUGGAUUGCACAGACAACCAGGAUGUUGGCUUAGAAGCAGCCACACAUUCAAAGAGUGCGUAAUAGCUCACUGGUCGAGUGAUCCAGCGCCGAAAAUGUAACGGGGCUAAAACGCGACACCGAAGCAGCGGGAUGCGUAAGCAUCGGUAGAGGAGCAUUGUGUGAGGAUAGAAGCCAGAGCGGGAGCACUGGUGGACUUCACAGAAGAGAGAAUGCCGGUAUGAGUAGCGAGACCCAUGCGAGAAACAUGGGCGUCGAAGGCCCAAGGUUUCCUGGGGAAGGUUCAUCCACCCAGGGUAAGUCGGGACCUAAGCCGAGGACUGAGGUCGUAGGCGAUGGACAGCAGGUAGAGAUUCCUGCACCACUUACACUUGUUUGACGAAGCAGUGACACAGAAGGAUAGGACGAGCGCGGUGAUGGUCAACCGCGUAGGCGGCACGAGGCCGGGAAGCAGUGAAGUACACUUCCCGCAAAGGCUGAGUGUUGACAGGACCGAAAAGAAGUAGGGAAGCGUCCGAGUUCACGCUGGCGAGAAAAGCUGCUAAGGAGAGUGUGAGUGCCCGUACCGGAAACCGACGCAGGUGGGCGAGGAGAGAAUCCUGAGACGGACGGGAGAACUCUUGUUAAGGAACUCGGCAAAAUGACCCCGUAACUUCGGGAGAAGGGGUGCCUCGAAAGAGGCCGCAGAGAAUAGUCACAAGCGACUGUUUAGCAAAAACACAGGUAUCUGCGAAAGCGAGAGCUGACGUAUAGGUGCUGACGCCUGCCCGGUGCUGGAAGGUUAAGGGGAAGUGUUAGGGGAAACCCGAAGCAGAGAACCGAAGCCCCAGUAAACGGCGGCCGUAACUAUAACGGUCCUAAGGUAGCGAAAUUCCUUGUCGGGUAAGUUCCGACCCGCACGAAUGGCGUAACGACUUGUGAGCUGUCUCAACAGGAGGCCCGGUGAAAUUGAAGUAUGUGUGAAGAUGCACAUUACCCGCGACUGGACGGAAAGACCCCGUAGAGCUUUACUGUAACCUGACAUUGGAUCUUGAUAACGGAUGCACAGGAUAGGUGGGACGCUGGGAGACGAGGACUUUGGUUUUCGUGGAGCGGCCGUUGGGAUACCACUCUUCUGUUAUUGAGAUUCUAACCUCAAGCCGUGAGCCGGAUGAGAGACAGUGUCAGGCGGACAGUUUGACUGGGGCGGUCGCCUCCGAAAGAGUAACGGAGGCGCCCAAAGGUACCCUCAGAAUGGAUGGAAACCAUUCGAAGAGAGCAAAGUCAGAAGGGUGCUUGACUGCGAGACCAACAAGUCGAGCAGGUACGAAAGUAGGGCUUAGUGAUCCGGCGGUAAGAGAGUGGAAUUGCCGUCGCUCAACGGAUAAAAGCUACCUCGGGGAUAACAGGCUGAUCUCCCCCAAGAGUUCACAUCGACGGGGAGGUUUGGCACCUCGAUGUCGGCUCGUCGCAUCCUGGGGCUGAAGCAGGUCCCAAGGGUUUGGCUGUUCGCCAAUUAAAGCGGCACGCGAGCUGGGUUCAGAACGUCGUGAGACAGUUCGGUCCCUAUCCAUCGUGGGCGAAGGACACAUGAGAGGAGCUGCUCCUAGUACGAGAGGACCGGAGUGGACGCAUCACUGGUGCAACUGUUGUCGUGCCAACGGCACAGCAGGGAAGCGAAAUGCGGAUGGGAUAAACGCUGAAGGCAUCUAAGCGUGAAGCCCACCUCAAGAAUAAGUGUCCCAUUCGAAAGAAGUAAGACCCCUGGAAGACUACCAGGUGAUAGGUCAUCGGUGAAAGAGCGGUAACGUUUGGAGCUUGAUGAUACUAAUCGGUCGAGGACUUGAUCUA